GACGAACGCUGGCGGCGUGCCUAAUACAUGCAAGUAGAACGCUGAAGAGAGGAGCUUACUCUUCUUGGAUGAGUUGCGAACGGGUGAGUAACGCGUAGGUAACCUGCCUUGUAGCGGGGGAUAACUAUUGGAAACGAUAGCUAAUACCGCAUAACAAUGGAUGACACAUGUCAUUUAUUUGAAAGGGGCAAUUGCUCCACUACAAGAUGGACCUGCGUUGUAUUAGCUAGUAGGUGAGGUAAUGGCUCACCUAGGCGACGAUACAUAGCCGACCUGAGAGGGUGAUCGGCCACACUGGGACUGAGACACGGCCCAGACUCCUACGGGAGGCAGCAGUAGGGAAUCUUCGGCAAUGGGGGCAACCCUGACCGAGCAACGCCGCGUGAGUGAAGAAGGUUUUCGGAUCGUAAAGCUCUGUUGUGAGUCAAGAACGGGUGUGAGAGUGGAAAGUUCACACUGUGACGGUAGCUUAACAGAAAGGGACGGCUAACUACGUG
This 497-nucleotide ribosomal RNA is filed under the name uncultured bacterium. RNAcentral's name for it is "partial 16S ribosomal RNA". It matches the Rfam family "Bacterial small subunit ribosomal RNA", at positions 28 to 507 of the family's 1533-position model. The record is from RNAcentral.